GCGCCUGUAGCUCAGCGGAUAGAGCGCAGCCCUGCGAAGGCUGAAGUCGUGAGUUCAAAUCUCACCAGGCGCACCA
RNAcentral lists this transfer RNA (76 nucleotides) under Chloroflexota bacterium. RNAcentral's name for it is "Chloroflexi bacterium tRNA-Arg". It matches the Rfam family "tRNA". Rfam says of the family: Transfer RNA (tRNA) molecules are approximately 80 nucleotides in length. Their secondary structure includes four short double-helical elements and three loops (D, anti-codon, and T loops). The record is from RNAcentral. Lineage: Bacteria; Bacillati; Chloroflexota. RNAcentral also lists the same sequence under 2 other names.